AUUAUUUUGACAGAAAAAUGUGUUAAAUUUAGAAUUUAAUUAUAUGUAAAAAUUUAAAUUACAUAAAUAAUA
This 72-nucleotide transfer RNA is filed under the name Brachycentrus kozlovi. Its description in RNAcentral is "tRNA-Leu". The record is from RNAcentral. Lineage: Eukaryota; Metazoa; Arthropoda; Insecta; Trichoptera; Brachycentridae.